This is a transfer RNA of Ipomoea nil (Japanese morning glory), 73 nucleotides long. It matches the Rfam family "tRNA". From Rfam's summary of the family: Transfer RNA (tRNA) molecules are approximately 80 nucleotides in length. Lineage: Eukaryota; Viridiplantae; Streptophyta; Magnoliopsida; Solanales; Convolvulaceae. The record is from Rfam.
GCGCUUGUAGCUCAGUGGAUAGAAUGUUUGUUUCCUAAGCAGAAAGUCAUAGGUUCAACCCUUAUUUGGCGUG